GUGGCGCAUGGCUGUCGUCAGCUCGUGUCGUGAGAUGUUGGGUUAAGUCUCGUAACGAGCGCAACCCUCGCUUUUAGUUCCCAGCAUUUAGGUGGGCCCUCUAAGGGGACUGCCGGUGAUAAGCCGAGAGGAAGGUGGGGAUGACGUCAAGUCCUCACGGCCCUUUCGGGCUCGGCUACACACGUGCUACAAUGGUGGUAACAGUGGGCAGCGAGUCCGGGAUGUCGACCUAAUCUCCAAAAGCCAUCUCAGUUCGGAUUGCCCUCUGCAACUCGAGUGCAUGAAGUUGGAAUCGCUAGUAAUCGCGGAUCAGCAUGCCACGGUGAAUACGUUCCCGGGCCUUGUACACACCGCCCGUCACACCAUGGGAGUUGGUUUUCCCCGAAGGCCGUACGCUAACCGCAUAGGAAGCAGGUGAACUAC
This 423-nucleotide ribosomal RNA is filed under the name Azospirillum halopraeferens. Its description in RNAcentral is "bacterial SSU rRNA". It matches the Rfam family "Bacterial small subunit ribosomal RNA", at positions 1038 to 1460 of the family's 1533-position model. Lineage: Bacteria; Pseudomonadati; Pseudomonadota; Alphaproteobacteria; Rhodospirillales; Azospirillaceae. The record is from RNAcentral.